GGUGAUCGCCGUUGAAAGACGGUUUCCUCUUCGGAGGCACCUGCACAGGUGCUGCAUGGCUGUCGUCAGCUCGUGUCGUGAGAUGUUGGGUUAAGUCCCGCAACGAGCGCAACCCUUAUCCCUAGUUGCCAUCAGGUAAAGCUGGGAACUCUGGGGAGACUGCCGGUGAUAAACCGGAGGAAGGCGGGGAUGACGUCAAGUCCUCAUGGCCCUUACAUCCCGGGCUACACACGUGCUACAAUGGCAGGUACAGAGGGCUGCGAAGCCGCGAGGUGGAGCGAAUCCCAGAAAACCUGUCUCAGUCCGGAUUGAAGUCUGCAACUCGACUUCAUGAAGGCGGAAUCGCUAGUAACCGCGAAUCAGCAGGUCGCGGUGAAUACGUUCCCGGGCCUU
Molecule: ribosomal RNA, 393 nt
Filed under: uncultured Latescibacterota bacterium
Lineage: Bacteria; Pseudomonadati; Candidatus Latescibacterota
Description: bacterial SSU rRNA
Rfam family: Bacterial small subunit ribosomal RNA
Source: RNAcentral